This 429-nucleotide ribosomal RNA is filed under the name Verrucomicrobiota bacterium. Its description in RNAcentral is "Verrucomicrobia bacterium partial 16S ribosomal RNA". It matches the Rfam family "Bacterial small subunit ribosomal RNA", at positions 355 to 776 of the family's 1533-position model. The record is from RNAcentral. Lineage: Bacteria; Pseudomonadati; Verrucomicrobiota.
UAGGGAAUCUUCCGCAAUGGACGAAAGUCUGACGGAGCAACGCCGCGUGAGUGAAGAAGGAUUUCGGUUCGUAAAACUCUGUUGUUAGGGAAGAAAAAAUGUAUAGUAACUAUAUACAAAAGAGACGGUACCUAACCAGAAAGCCACGGCUAACUACGUGCCAGCAGCCGCGGUAAUACGUAGGUGGCAAGCGUUGUCCGGAAUUAUUGGGCGUAAAGAGUGCGUAGGCGGCAAAUUAAGUCAGAUGUGAAAACUAAGGGCUCAACCCAUAGAUUGCAUCUGAAACUGAUAUGCUUGAGUCAAGGAGAGGAAAGUGGAAUUCCUAGUGUAGCGGUGGAAUGCGUAGAUAUUAGGAGGAAUACCGGUGGCGAAGGCGACUUUCUGGACUUGAACUGACGCUGAGGCACGAAAGCGUGGGGAGCAAACAGG